Cercocebus atys (sooty mangabey) is the source of this 102-nucleotide unclassified non-coding RNA. It matches the Rfam family "Y RNA". Rfam says of the family: Y RNAs are components of the Ro ribonucleoprotein particle (Ro RNP), in association with Ro60 and La proteins. The Y RNAs and Ro60 and La proteins are well conserved, but the function of the Ro RNP is not known. In humans the RNA component can be one of four small RNAs -- hY1, hY3, hY4 and hY5. The record is from Ensembl. NCBI's taxonomy places the organism in Eukaryota, Metazoa, Chordata, Mammalia, Primates, Cercopithecidae.
GGCUGGUCCUAGAACAGUAGUGUUUGUUACUAAUUGAUAACAAACAGUUGCAGAUUUCCUUUUUCCUUCUCUACUCCCACCGCUUCACUUGAUUAGGCUUUA